UUUCACAGCGGUAUGAGCUGGUACCGGGCCUUGUCCACCGCCCGUGGGUCUGCAUCCGAUACGGGCCCCCUUUAGUGUGGUAUGGGAGAUCGGAAUUCCUGGUGUAGCGGUGAAAUGCGCAGAUAUCCGGAGGAACACCGGUGGCCAACGCGGAUCUCUGGGCCAUUACUGACGCUGAGGAGCGAAAGCGUGGGGAGCGAACAGGAUUAGAUACCCUGGCAGUCCACGCCGUAAACGUUGGGAACUAGGUGUUGGCGACAUUCCACGUCGUCAGUGCCGCAGCUAACGCAUUAAGUUCCCCGCCUGGGGAGUACGGCCGCCAGGCUAAAACUCAAAGGAAUUGACGGGGGCCCGCACAAGCAGCGGAGCAUGUGGCUUAAUUCGACGCAACGCGAAGAACCUUACCAAGGCUUGACAUAUACCGGAAAGCAUUAGAGAUAGUGCCCCCCUUGUGGUCGGUAUACAGGUGGCGCAUGGCUGUCGCCAGCUCGUGUCGUGAGAUGUUGGGUUAAGUCCCGCAACGAGCGCAACCCUUGUCCUGUGUUGCCAGCAUGCCCUUCAGCGUGAUGGGGACUCACAGGAGACCGCCGGGGUCAACUCGGAGGAAGGUGGGGACGACGUCAAGUCAUCAUGCCCCUUAUGUCUUGGGCUGCACACGCUGCUACAAUGGCCGGUACAAAGAGCUGCGAUGCCGCGAGGCGGAGCGAAUCUCAAAAAGCCGGUCUCAGUUCCGAUUGGGGUCUGCAACUCGACCCCCUGAAGUCGGAGUUGCUAGUAAUCGCAGAUCAGCAUUGCUGCGGCGAAUACGUUCCCCUUUGAUCCUGGCUCAACGGCCCGUUC
Molecule: ribosomal RNA, 840 nt
Filed under: Streptomyces sp. PN1
Lineage: Bacteria; Bacillati; Actinomycetota; Actinomycetes; Kitasatosporales; Streptomycetaceae
Description: bacterial SSU rRNA
Rfam family: Bacterial small subunit ribosomal RNA
Source: RNAcentral